GGCAAAAGCUCAAAUUUGAAAUCUGGUACCUUCGGUGCCCGAGUUGUAAUUUGGAGAGGGCAACUUUGGGGCCGUUCCUUGUCUAUGUUCCUUGGAACAGGACGUCAUAGAGGGUGAGAAUCCCGUGUGGCGAGGAGUGCGGUUCUUUGUAAAGUGCCUUCGAAGAGUCGAGUUGUUUGGGAAUGCAGCUCUAAGUGGGUGGUAAAUUCCAUCUAAAGCUAAAUAUUGGCGAGAGACCGAUAGCGAACAAGUACAGUGAUGGAAAGAUGAAAAGAACUUUGAAAAGAGAGUGAAAAAGUACGUGAAAUUGUUGAAAGGGAAGGGCAUUUGAUCAGACAUGGUGUUUUGUGCCCUCUGCUCCUUGUGGGUAGGGGAAUCUCGCAUUUCACUGGGCCAGCAUCAGUUUUGGUGGCAGGAUAAAUCCAUAGGAAUGUAGCUUGCCUCGGUAAGUAUUAUAGCCUGUGGGAAUACUGCCAGCUGGGACUGAGGACUGCGACGUAAGUCAAGGAUGCUGGCAUAAUGGUUAUAUGCC
Molecule: ribosomal RNA, 532 nt
Filed under: Saccharomyces sp.
Lineage: Eukaryota; Fungi; Ascomycota; Saccharomycetes; Saccharomycetales; Saccharomycetaceae
Description: eukaryotic LSU rRNA
Rfam family: Eukaryotic large subunit ribosomal RNA
Source: RNAcentral